ACCUUGAGAGCCCUGGGCUACUCUGUCACAGCCCCUGUUGCCCUGCGAUCUGUAGGUCCUUGGGGACGCAUAGUUAAGGUGCCAGGACAUCCUGGAAGCUGGGAAAUGACCAUGGCUGGAGAAGGAAAGAAGGUGUGUUUUGCCUGAUUCAGGGACUAUAGAGAGAACCAAGUUCUGCAGGCCUGUCAUCUAAGUCUCAGGGCGGGGAGACCUUCCUUCCCCACGGGUUUGAGGCUAUGGCUAAGUGGUGAGCCUUGGUGAGACGCAGAAAGGAUCCAUCCCAGGCACUUGGCUAGAGGCAGGUUCCUGGGAUCUGAUAAAACUGAUAUUGGAGACGCUGGAGCUGAUCCGACAUAGCAAUGGUGUUGACUCCCUCCUUAUGUGUGGAUUGCUCAGCGGGGGAACUUGACUGUCCAACAUGCUGGGUGCAAGAACAGCAGAAAGGGGACUUUUAAGAUGUGGCAAACAUGAGGCCUCUUCGGAGAGGACUUUGGAAACCAGGCCUUGCUUGGCUGAAUGCUAUCCCAGUGAUUGUACGUGCCCUGUUUGCUGAAUCUACUCAUCCUUAAGGGUACAUUUGCUUCCAGGUAACAUGUUUGUGACUAAUACUACAAUGUGCAUAUAUCUAUUCCAUGUUCUGCUUUGUCUGUUUGGGAUAUUUUUCAUACACUGAUUCAGUACCAUGUGUAUUCCCUUGCUUUUGUUGUCUC
RNAcentral lists this long non-coding RNA (710 nucleotides) under Homo sapiens (human). Its description in RNAcentral is "non-protein coding lnc-U2AF1L5-161:4". The record is from RNAcentral. Lineage: Eukaryota; Metazoa; Chordata; Mammalia; Primates; Hominidae.